This 207-nucleotide ribosomal RNA is filed under the name uncultured bacterium. RNAcentral describes it as "partial 16S ribosomal RNA". It matches the Rfam family "Bacterial small subunit ribosomal RNA", at positions 568 to 774 of the family's 1533-position model. The record is from RNAcentral.
GGUGUAGGCGGCUCUAUAAGUCAGAAGUGAAAGCCCCGGGCUUAACCUGGGAAGUGCUUUUGAUACUGCAGAGCUUGAAUGUGGGAGAGGGUAGUGGAAUUCCAGGUGUAGUGGUGAAAUACGUAGAUAUCUGGAGGAACACCGGUGGCGAAGGCGGCUACCUGGCCCAACAUUGACGCUGAGACCCGAAAGCAUGGGGAUCAAACA